Molecule: ribosomal RNA, 2273 nt
Filed under: human gut metagenome
Description: bacterial LSU rRNA
Rfam family: Bacterial large subunit ribosomal RNA
Source: RNAcentral
UCAAGCUACUAAGGGCAUACGGUGGAUGCCUAGGCGCCAAGAGCCGAAGAAGGACGCGGUAAGCUGCGAAAAGCCACGGGGAACUGCAAGCAAGUAUUGAUCCGUGGAUAUCCGAAUGGGGAAACCCGGCCAUCGUCAUGGAUGGUCACCCGCAAGGGAGGGAACCUGGGGAACUGAAACAUCUAAGUACCCGGAGGAAGAGAAAUCAAACGAGAUGCCCACAGUAGCGGCGAGCGAAGAGGGCAGAGCCCAAACCGAGAAGCUCCGGCUUUUCGGGGUUGAGGACCGGCAGAAUCGAAGUCAGGCCUAGUUGAAUUACCUGGAAAGGUAAGCGAGAGAGGGUAAAAGCCCCGUAGACGAAAGGCAGAGCAGAGAGGCCGAGAUCCAGAGUACCACGAAGCACGAGGAAUUUUGUGGGAAGCAGGGGGGACCACCCUCCAAGGCUAAAAACUACUUGGCGACCGAUAGCGCAUAGUACCGUGAGGGAAAGGUGAAAAGAACCCCGGGAGGGGAGUGAAAUAGUACCUGAAACCGUAUGUCUACAAGCAGUCGAAGCGAAAGCGACGGCGUGCCUAUUGAAGAAUGAACCAACGAGUUAUCUGCACUAGCGAGGUUAAGUGGAAGACACGGAGCCGCAGCGAAAGCGAGUCUUAAGAGGGCGCUAGUUAGUGUAGGUAGACCCGAAACCGCAGUGAUCUACCCAUGUCCAGGUUGAAGCGCAGGUAAAAUUGCGUGGAGGACCGAACCGGUGAGCGUUGAAAAGCUUUCGGAUGAGAUGUGGGUAGGGGUGAAAUUCCAAUCGAACGCGGAGAUAGCUGGUUCUCCCCGAAAUAGCUUUAGGGCUAGCCUGAGGUAGUAAGUAUAGGCGGUAGAGCACUGAUCGGGCUAGGGGCCGUAAAGGUUACCGAACCCUGUCAAACUCCGAAUGGAUAUACUGUAGAGCCUUGGAGUCAGACUACGAGUGAUAAGAUCCGUGGUCAAAAGGGAAACAGCCCAGACCACCAGCUAAGGUCCCCAAUGUCGUACUAAGUGGAAAAGGAUGUGGGGUUUCAUAAACAACCAGGAUGUUGGCUCAGAAGCAGCCACCAUUUAAAGAGUGCGUAAUAGCUCACUGGUCGAGAGACCCUGCGCCGAAGAUUCCCGGGGCUAAAGUACGAAACCGAAGCUGUGGCUGUAUACGUAAAGUAUACGGGGUAGGGGAGCGUUCCCAUAGGGUAGAAGUCGAACUGGAAGGUUCGGUGGACUUGUGGGAAGUGAGAAUGUUGGUAUGAGUAGCGAAAAGAAAGGUGAGAAUCCUUUCCACCGAAAGCAUAAGGAUUCCUGAGCAACGAUCGUCGUCUCAGGGUAAGUCGGGACCUAAUCCGAGGCAGAGAGCGUAGGAGAUGGACAACUGGUUGAUAUUCCAGUACCGGUAGUAAUUGUUUGAGCAAUGGAGUGACACAGAAGGGCAGGCAAGCAUGCGAAUGGAAGAGCAUGUGUAAGCGUGUAGGGUGGUGCAUAGGCAAAUCCGUGCACUGAAAGCCUGAGGCGUGAUGCGGAGUGAGCAGAGAUGCGAGCGAAGUUGUUGACCCCACACUGUCGAGAAAAGCUUCUAGUGAGAGAGCUACCGCCCGUACCGUAAACCGACACAGGUAUGCGGGGAGAGAAUCCUAAGGUGCGCGGGAGAACCCUCGUUAAGGAACUCGGCAAAAUGUACCCGUAACUUCGGGAUAAGGGUAGCCACUGUUGUGAAGUCCCAUGCGGAUGGAGCAUAGAGUGGUCGCAGAGAAGAGGCCCAAGCGACUGUUUACCAUAAACACAGGUGCCUGCUAAAGCGAAAGCUGACGUAUAGGUGCUGACACCUGCCCAGUGCCGGAAGGUUAAGGAAGGAUGUUCGGAGUAAUCCAAAGCAUUCGACUGAAGCCCCGGUGAACGGCGGCCGUAACUAUAACGGUCCUAAGGUAGCGAAAUUCCUUGUCGGGUAAGUUCCGACCCGCACGAAAGGUGUAACGAUUUGGCUGCUGUCUCACUGAGGGACCCGGUGAAAUUGAAAUACCUGUGAAGAUGCAGGUUACCCGCGACUGGACAGAAAGACCCCAUGGAGCUUUACUGUAACCUGACAUUGGGUUUUGAUACAUUACGUACAGGAUAGGUGGGAGGCAUGGAAAGCUGGACGCUAGUCUGGCUGGAGCCGACGUUGGGAUACCACCCUUGAUGUAUUGAAAUUCUAACCGCGAGAGUAACGAAAUCCGGGACAGUGUCAGGCGGGCAGUUUGACUGGGGCGGUCGCCUCC